GUUUGAGCUCAAAUCAUGCAAAAUAAAAAAGAGAAAAUUUCUGUGCCCCUGAAACAGAGAGCCACACCUGGAUCAAGGGACAUCACAUUGAGGACACCUUUGACAUGCAUUGUGUCCCUCCCCUUCUUGACCCAGAGCUGCUGAAACUGACAAGAGAAGUCUUGGCCAGCCAAGAGCCCCAGGACCAAAUGAGCCUCAGAACUGCAAGAGAUAGAAUCACAAAAGAAAAAUAACCUGGUGAAUGGGAGUUUGGGCUCAUUGGAAGAAAUCGCGUGUGAAAUGACUCAAGUCGGAAGGCCUGAGAUGAAGCUGCAGAGUCUGAUGUGACCCAAGCACUCACACUCAAAGGCAUCUCUGGAGUCCCCAUGGCUGCCUUGCACAGCUGAGUCCCUGCCUCAGCUCUGUCACAGCAUCUAAAUUAUGAGGCAGUGUACACAAACCGUUCAAAAGCACAAAUAAACUGUUAUUGCUGGAAUUCAAGGCAGGGACCAAAAGAGAUAUGAGGUUUAUGGGGAACAUGGACAAGCAAGGGAAUCCAGAGGCCUGUGCUGCAGACAGUGCAUUUGCCCAGCCAAACCGUGGCCAAGCAUCCCUGGGGUGGAGCCAAGCGGAACUGUGGGACAGCUGUGAUUUGUCUUUGAUGCCCAUCUAUCUCUCUGUCAGCAUUUACUGCACCCACUUCAUGUACUAGGCCCUCAGGGUCCUUAUCCAGUUUCCUUUCUGAGCCUGCCUUCUUCCUAAGCAAGAACCGAAGCCCAGAAGAUUCUCCCCUUCUCUGUCAAAACUUACCUCCUGAGCUGUGUUUCUCCCAGGACCUUGUUCUCUGACAGCAAGUUUUUCAGAUCAAUUAACCUCUCGUAACAGGUGAUAAUGAAGAUAACUUUCUCAAGUUAAAGAUUUGCAUAUUAACAAACUCAAUGCCUUGACCAAAAACUGUGGCUUGGCCGGGGGCAGUGGCUCACGCCUGUAAUCCCAGCACUUUGGGAGGCUGAGGCAGGCAGAUCACUUGAGGACAGGAGUUCGAGACCAGCCUGGCCAACUUGACGAGGCCCCCAUCUCUACCAAAAUACAAAAAUUAGCUGGGUGUUGGUGACACACGCCUGUAAUGCCAGCUACUCAUGAGGCUAAGGCAUGAGAAUCACUUGAGCCCAGGAGGUGGAGGUUGCAGUGAGCCAAGAUCUCACUCCAACUUGGGGGACAGAGCAAGACUCCAUCUCAAUAAAUAAUAAAUAAAUAAAAAUAAAAAACUGUGGCUCAACUGCUCAAAAUAUUGCAAGGACCCACUUAAACUAAGAGGAGAGAAAACUGCCACAGUUGCCUACUAUAACCAAAACCCAUAGGUUAGGCAUGAAGCUGGGUCACACUUUUGUCACCUGAACAUUACUGAGUCCCAUCUCCUCUUGAUAACUAAAGAACAGCAAAACUUCAUGGAAUCUUGAAAUUAAAGCUUCAUAAGCUAGGUGGGGGUGGGGGUGGGGGUAGAGGCAGUUCAGAAGUGAUGACCAGGAAAGCUAUGAAGCUAUCCUAUUUGCUGUAAUCCAACUCCUGUCUUCCAAGUUACAUUUCUACUUGGAGAGCAUGGAAACUCUCCCCAGACUCAAAUCUAGCUCAGGACUGGGGGAGAUGGCCGGCAGGGCAAGGCAUACAUGGCCACUUCAAGCCUCCCAAGCCAGAAAGGAGUAGGAAUUUGGCCAAUGGGUUUCAGUGCUGUUUACAUAAUCUGAAACUCUUCUUUAUAAUAUAUGCACAUCUAUAUAUUUUUCUUUUUUUCUUUUGGUUCUGGAAAAAUGAGUGUCCUAUGUCUUUUGGUGGUUAAAUUGAUGAGGAAAUGAAAUUUCUUUGUAAUACUUAGAAGUUAGAGUAUAAAGUUAAAAAGAAAAAAUCAGAAGACUCAUCUUUGAUUCAAUAAGAUCUCACCUGGCACAGUGGUUGUAUAAAGUACACUGAGGCAUGUUUGCCAGCUAAGAGAAAGAAGCCAGAGAGAGGGGGAGGGAGGGAGGGAUGCAUGGACGGACGGUUGGAUGGAUGAUUAAAUAACAAUGAAGGUAAAAAUAGACUCCACAUCCUCAGUGGACUACAUAAGAUGUGAAGAAAGGAUGAGAAGACAGAAUAGAAUAUGUCCUCCUGCCAGCAAGGCAAAUGUUUUUCUGGUUUAUUUGUUUUGGUUUUUGUUUUUUGAGACAGGGUUUCACUCUGUUGCCCAGGCUGGAAUGCAACGGCACCACGACAGGUCACUGCUGCCUCAACCUCCUGGGCUCAAGUCGUCCUCCCACCUCAGCCUUCUGAGUUGCUGGGACUACAGGCAUGCACCACUGCACCCAACUAAAUUUUUUUUUUAUUUUCUGUAAGGACAAAGUUUUGUCGUGUUUCCCAGGAUGGUCUCAAACUCCUUAGCUCAAGUGACCCACCUACCACAGCCUCCCAAAGUGCUGGGAUUACAGCCAUGAGCUACCAUGACUGGCCUGCAAAUUCAUUUUGAAUAUCAAAAUUCAAGGAUCCCGCAAAGUCUUUCUCACCCUGAAUGAAAUCCUACCACAGCAACAUUGCUAAAAAAAAAAACUAAGAACUAGUUUGAUUACCUUAGUAUGGUUUCCUUAUUCUCCUUUCACAUCUUUAGACUACAUAACAAUUUUUCCAUGACCAUUAGUAAAAAUCAAACAGUUUAUUCCUUUUGACAGCAGAAGACAAAGGCUGAGGCACAUGUAAGAAGUAGCAGAGAAUGAGAGGGAAGAGUAGCCAUGGGCGAUGGAUCAGUGGGAAAGAGAAGGAAAGUAGAAAUAAACACCUCUCUCAUCUGCCUAAGGACUUGAGGUCCCUAAGACACACCACAACUCCAUAGGCGAGCUGAUCAGGACCCAGGUCUCCUAAACCUACGCAGCAAUUUGCAAUACACAACGCUAAAUUAUGCUGAAGUGUGUGUGGGUGAAAAGAAAAUUUCCCUGACUGCAUUCCUACGUGUUCUCUCUCCCACUGUUUCUGUACCCACUCUAUCCAAAGAGCAUCAGUAGAAUGUGGAAGCACAAAGUGGAAAUGAGAAAAAUUACUUUAAAGACUUAUCGAUAAGUACUGAGCUUAAAAUGUUCGAAACAGAAUUGAGUGCUACCCACUUCCACCAAAGUUCUUGAUAAUUUCUUAUGUUCUAGGUCUACCCUACAAAAUAUGGUGCCCCAUUAAGUCCCGUAUUCAUAGGGGUUCCAAGAUUGCUACUUGUAAUGUCUGUUUUAGAGUAUCUGAAUAAAUAAUUUCUUCUCCAUUUCUCACGCUUAGCAGGUUGAACAUCUUACUACUAAAUGAGAGAAUCAGCUCAGUGACCAAACUUUACCAGCAGAACCCAGACUUAUUUUCAGUAGGGAAGCCUGAGUUUGCCUUACUAGAGUGUCACCUAGUGUCUAUAUAUGGAACUGCACACAAUUUUUUGUUAACGAGUUAAGAACGCAUGUCAUUGUGUGGCGCGGAAGAGCCUUCCUUUAUGAAGUGCUAAAGUACAUAUGUAGACAUUUUUCCAAAUCCAAUUAUAGUUCCAUUGAUUUAUAUUAGUAUUUUAAAUAUGCAUUCACAUUGAAAUGAUCUGAGACGUUAUAAAGUUGGCACUUCAAAAUUCAGCA
Molecule: long non-coding RNA, 3605 nt
Filed under: Homo sapiens (human)
Lineage: Eukaryota; Metazoa; Chordata; Mammalia; Primates; Hominidae
Description: HSALNT0210596
Source: RNAcentral